ACAACCCUAUGCGGUGGAUCACUUGGCUCGCGAGUCGAUGAAGAGCGCACCAAACUGCGUGAAUUAAUGUGAUUUGCAGGACACAUUGAUCAUCGAUAUCUUGAACGCAUAUUGCGGUUAUGGAUCGCUUCCAUGACCACGCCUGUCUGAGGGUCGGUAUUAAUAU
RNAcentral lists this ribosomal RNA (166 nucleotides) under Brachionus calyciflorus. RNAcentral's name for it is "5.8S ribosomal RNA". It matches the Rfam family "5.8S ribosomal RNA". Rfam says of the family: 5.8S ribosomal RNA (5.8S rRNA) is a component of the large subunit of the eukaryotic ribosome. It is transcribed by RNA polymerase I as part of the 45S precursor that also contains 18S and 28S rRNA. Lineage: Eukaryota; Metazoa; Rotifera; Eurotatoria; Ploima; Brachionidae. The record is from RNAcentral.